Molecule: transfer RNA, 65 nt
Filed under: Fistulobalanus albicostatus
Lineage: Eukaryota; Metazoa; Arthropoda; Thecostraca; Balanomorpha; Balanidae
Description: tRNA-Val
Source: RNAcentral
UGAAAACAAGCUGUUAAGCAUUCCAUUUACACUGGAAAGGUACUUGUAAUUUACAAGGUUUUCAA